GACGAACGCUGGCGGCGUGCCUAAUACAUGCAAGUAGAACGCUGAAGGAGGAGCUUGCUUCUCUGGAUGAGUUGCGAACGGGUGAGUAACGCGUAGGUAACCUGCCUGGUAGCGGGGGAUAACUAUUGGAAACGAUAGCUAAUACCGCAUAACAGUAGAUAUCGCAUGAUAUCUACUUGAAAGGUGCAAUUGCAUCACUACCAGAUGGACCUGCGUUGUAUUAGCUAGUUGGUGAGGUAACGGCUCACCAAGGCGACGAUACAUAGCCGACCUGAGAGGGUGAUCGGCCACACUGGGACUGAGACACGGCCCAGACUCCUACGGGAGGCAGCAGUAGGGAAUCUUCGGCAAUGGACGGAAGUCUGACCGAGCAACGCCGCGUGAGUGAAGAAGGUUUUCGGAUCGUAAAGCCCUGUUGUAAGAGAAGAACGAGUGUGAGAGUGGAAAGUUCACACUGUGACGGUAUCUUACCAGAAAGGGACGGCUAACUACGUG
This 495-nucleotide ribosomal RNA is filed under the name uncultured bacterium. RNAcentral describes it as "partial 16S ribosomal RNA". It matches the Rfam family "Bacterial small subunit ribosomal RNA", at positions 28 to 507 of the family's 1533-position model. The record is from RNAcentral.